GGGGUUGUGGCUCAAUGGUAGAGCACUUGCCUGGCAUGUGUGAGGCACUGGGUUCCAUCCUCAGCACCCACA
Molecule: transfer RNA, 72 nt
Filed under: Ictidomys tridecemlineatus (thirteen-lined ground squirrel)
Lineage: Eukaryota; Metazoa; Chordata; Mammalia; Rodentia; Sciuridae
Description: Spermophilus tridecemlineatus (thirteen-lined ground squirrel) tRNA
Rfam family: tRNA
About the family: Transfer RNA (tRNA) molecules are approximately 80 nucleotides in length. Their secondary structure includes four short double-helical elements and three loops (D, anti-codon, and T loops).
Source: Rfam by way of RNAcentral